RNAcentral lists this long non-coding RNA (1066 nucleotides) under Pogona vitticeps (central bearded dragon). Its description in RNAcentral is "lncRNA (ENSPVIG00000001697.1)". The record is from RNAcentral. Lineage: Eukaryota; Metazoa; Chordata; Lepidosauria; Squamata; Agamidae.
CCCAGCCUCAUCCUUCACAAAGGGCGCAGAGAUGGGGCCAGCCUGCUUUGUACUCUUUUGGUGACACCCUAGCCCAAUUUUUGUUCCAGUUCAUAAUGGUAUUCUCUGUAUUUCUGGGUCUCCAUGGAGACCCUAUUCCUGCAAAGACUAUUGGGGGAUUAAAAACAGCAAGGCUAGAUUAUAGAUUGAAUAAUCAGUCAAGACAGAGGACCACCAACAGUGGUCUGCAGAACUGAGCACUCAGUCAGUCAUUCCCAAGGCAAUCGUUAUGAGAUGUGUGAGAGAACCGCUUUGAAUGUUCAGUGCUUACAAUAAUCUUUUAUUCCUUCUUUAAAGGACAAUGCAGUGGGGAUGCUCUACUCCAUUCUCUCAGCACUUUCCCUUCCUGUUCCAUGGGUCUGAAAUUAAUGGUACUACAGCCACAUUCCUGUUGUUUACCAUAGGAAGUCACACCUACUGAUUCAAUGAACCUUAUGGAAGAAUUGACUCAUCAGAUCCCCACUAAUUCAAUGGGCCUUCUCUAGUUGCUGACCAACAUAAUUUCAUUCAAUGACUGAGGCAGGAAAAGUGAGAAAGUUUCAUUUCAAAGACUGGGAGCCAAAGGCCACCUUUCUGGUUGGAUCUGAGGCGCAUAAAUGCAUCCUACAUAGCAGCCAUGUGGCUCUGUUUAGAAGACUGAAGAUUUCCACCUCUCCUUACAGAUUUUUAAGGAAAAAAUCCAGAAAACUUGCAUUCCAGUCUCCUGGAGCUGCUGCCAGGUUAGAGCAGAGAUAAUAAAGAAAUACAUGUUUGAGAAUGUUAACUGACUGUCUGGACUAAGGUCGGAAUAUAUAGUAAUUGGCCGCUGAAUUAAAGUUUCUUCAAUUGUUUUAUUUUGUUUGUGUUUUAAAUUGCAGAUGAAUGUGGAAAUGGGAUGGAAGAAAAUUUGAGUGAGCACAUUCAAAAGGAAAUCCUGAGAUGUCUGCCUUCAAUCCAAAAUGAUUAAUAGCUUGAAACUCACAACCUCAGUAACAUUUUUAUAUAUCAACUGAAUAAGGAUUCCUUCAAUUGUUCAGUGAAAUCAAGC